RNAcentral lists this long non-coding RNA (912 nucleotides) under Nicotiana benthamiana. Its description in RNAcentral is "long non-coding RNA (NBEN_LNC005959)". The record is from RNAcentral. Lineage: Eukaryota; Viridiplantae; Streptophyta; Magnoliopsida; Solanales; Solanaceae.
AUGUCUAUCCAUCACCACCCCAUCACCCUGUAUAUAAGUCUCCACCACCACCUAAGAAGCCCUACCACCCUUCACCAACCCCAUAUCAUCCUGUACCCGUUUAUAAAUCUCCACCCCCACCAACUCCAGUUUACAAGUCGCCACCACCACCCAAGAAGCCACAAUAUCCUCCACACAUCCCGGUUUAUAAGUCGCCACCACCACCAACUCCCGUUUACAAGUCACCACCACCACCCAAGAAGCCACACUACCCUCCACACAUCCCUGUUUAUAAGUCACCACCACCGCCCAAGAAGCCAUACUAUCCUCCACAUACUCCAGUUUACAAGUCGCCACCACCACCAACUCCGGUUUACAAGUCACCACCGCCACCCAAGAAACCAUACUAUCCUCCACACAUCCCUGUUUACAAAUCUCCACCACCACCUACUCCAGUUUACAAGUCGCCACCACCACCCAAGAAGCCAUACUACCCUCCACACACCCCGGUUUAUAAGUCUCCACCACCACCAACUCCUGUUUACAAGUCACCACCACCACCCAAGAAGCCAUACUAUCCUCCACACACACCAGUUUACAAGUCGCCACCACCACCUACUCCCGUUUACAAGUCACCACCACCACCAACACCCGUUUACAAGUCACCACCACCACCUAAGAAGCCACACCAUCCUUCACCAACCCCAUAUCAUCCUGCACCAGUUUACAAGUCCCCACCACCACCUAAGAAGCCAGACCACCCUUCACCAACACCGUAUCAUCCUGCACCAGUUUACAAAUCCCCACCGCCACCUACUCCAGUUUACAAGUCACCACCACCUUCAGUGAAGCCAUACCAUCCUUCACCAACACCAUAUCAUCCUGCACCAGUUUAUAAGCCUCCACCACCACCAACUCCUGUCUACAAGUCAC